CCGGGCGGGCGGGACGGAGG
This 20-nucleotide microRNA is filed under the name Callithrix jacchus (white-tufted-ear marmoset). RNAcentral's name for it is "cja-miR-9942". The record is from miRBase by way of RNAcentral. Lineage: Eukaryota; Metazoa; Chordata; Mammalia; Primates; Cebidae.